RNAcentral lists this ribosomal RNA (497 nucleotides) under uncultured bacterium. Its description in RNAcentral is "partial 16S ribosomal RNA". It matches the Rfam family "Bacterial small subunit ribosomal RNA", at positions 28 to 507 of the family's 1533-position model. The record is from RNAcentral.
GAUGAACGCUGGCGGCGUGCCUAAUACAUGCAAGUCGAGCGAACAGACGAGGAGCUUGCGCCGCUGACGUUAGCGGCGGACGGGUGAGUAACACGAGGAUAACCUACCUAUAAGACGGGGAUAACUUCGGGAAACCGGAGCUAACACCGGAUAAGAUGCUGAACCGCAGGGGUGAACAGUGAAAGACGGUGUUGCGGGCACGUAUAGAGGGAUCCGCGUCGCAUUGGGUGGUUGGUACGGUAAAGGGCUACCAAGGGAACGAGGCGUAUGCGACCUGAGGGAGUGAUAGGCCACCCUGGAGCGGAGCCACGGUCCAGGCUCCUACGGGAGGCAGCAGUCGGGAACGUUACGCAGUGGUCGGAAGCCUGACAGAGCGACGGCGCGUGAGAGACAACGGUCUUCCGAUCGUAAAGCUGUGUUAUUAGGGAAGAACAAAUGUGUAAUUAACUAUGCACGUCUUGACGGUACUUAAUCAGAAAGCCCCGGCUAACUACGUG